AACGAACGCUGGCGGCAUGCCUAACACAUGCAAGUCGAACGAGGCCUUCGGGUCUAGUGGCGCACGGGUGCGUAACGCGUGGGAACCUGCCCUUAGGUUCGGAAUAACUCCCCGAAAGGGGUGCCAAUACCGGAUAAUGUCUUCGGACCAAAGAUUUAUCGCCUUUGGAUGGGCCCGCGUUGGAUUAGCUAGUUGGUAGGGUAAAAGCCUACCAAGGCGACGAUCCAUAGCUGGUCUGAGAGGAUGAUCAGCCACACUGGGACUGAGACACGGCCCAGACUCCUACGGGAGGCAGCAGUGGGGAAUAUUGGACAAUGGGCGAAAGCCUGAUCCAGCAAUGCCGCGUGAGUGAUGAAGGCCUUAGGGUUGUAAAGCUCUUUUACCCGGGAUGAUAAUGACAGUACCGGGAGAAUAAGCUCCGGCUAACUCCGUG
This 433-nucleotide ribosomal RNA is filed under the name uncultured bacterium. RNAcentral describes it as "partial 16S ribosomal RNA". It matches the Rfam family "Bacterial small subunit ribosomal RNA", at positions 29 to 507 of the family's 1533-position model. The record is from RNAcentral.